RNAcentral lists this long non-coding RNA (3119 nucleotides) under Xyrichtys novacula (pearly razorfish). Lineage: Eukaryota; Metazoa; Chordata; Actinopteri; Labriformes; Labridae. The record is from RNAcentral.
AAGUUAGGAUUAGGGUUAAGGUUAGGAGAUUCAGAAGUGUGAUAAUGUUCUGUAAUGUUCUGUUCGAUGUACAGAGCUGACAGCCCGCAUUAGGCUUGAGCGUGUGAUGACGUUUCUAGCUUUUCUAGCCAAUCAGAGGCAAAGGAGGCGGGACUUUCCCCUACCAUCCUACCAAAAAAAUAUUGUGUCCUGGACAGCUCCUAUUGGUCAAUCUCCUGCGUCACCUCUCCAUCCAAUCACCUCGCUGUAUCCGACACACCCCUCUCCCAUAAUUCCGACUCGUCCCCUCCCACUCUCCCGGCUCUCCUUGGAGCUCUGAGCGGCUAAAAGUAGCGUAGCACUUUAGCUACAAGAGUUGUGAUGGAGAAGGAUGGAAAAAAAACACUUCUGCUCGCCCAAUCGCCAAAAGUGGGAAGAAAACGCAAGCCGACAGAAGAAAGGGCGGAGACAAAGAGGAAAUGUGACCAAGCGAGGAAUCUAACUCAAAUAAAUAUUGGGUCAUCCUUCGAGUGGUGGAGAAAGCUCCGCCAGGAUUUGGUCCUGAAAACAGACAGCAGAGUUUUUAUAGAACAGGUAAUUUUUAUCGCUUUCUAUCGUCGCACGUGUUACAUAAAUAACUCCUAUUAGUCUCUACAGUGUCAACACGGUAGCUGUCCAGGCAGCUGCAGACGCUGCUCGCUAGCAGAGCUGGCGUUUACUGCUGCUAGUCACUUGAAAUCCGACAUGGUGAAUCCUAUUUGAAGCUAGCUAAGGAUCUUCUGCCGGCCGGCUUCUUGCUCUGCCAGAGGGGGUGUGUCGUGGGGAGGAUGAUACAGGUUCGGGGGGCUGUUAUCAUGGAGAACAGAGGGGAGAGGUUUGUGUGUGGGGGGUGGGACGCUUUUUUCAAAUCUGCCUCAACUGCUCAGUUUUUUUCUACUGCUUCUCAGAUCGUCAACCAGGCCUUUAAAUAAAAGUUUACUGAUUUUAAGCAGUUCAUAAAUUGCUGUAUGUAGGAACAACACUUCUGAAUUUACUGUGAUUUCUGCUCUCUUUCUCGUCUUCUUCCACUCACUCCUGCCGACUCUUUGACUGUAAGCACACUUUUCAUAUUUUCUACUCUCCCGUCUGUCGUCCUGCGGUGUGUUUUCUGUAUAGUUUCCCACUGAGGGGCAGAUUGCAGGUCUACGGGGUUGAGUGAUGUCCCGCUGCUGUUGCUGCUCUACAUCUGGAUCAUCUAAAAAGCAGCAGUUUUCUGACUCUGGGACUCGGCAGGAUUCGAACAUCAUAAACAGAAAAGAAACGGCGAUGAUUUCUGCUCAAACACUCGGAAACAAAGUGAAAUAAAUCAGUGUUUUCUCGCUGCAUAUCUGCGGGGAAAGCUCUCUGUAGUUGUUCAGACUGUGGAAUUUUUUUGUUAAGAUUUUCCAACGACAAGAGAGUCAAUAAAUCGAAGUUAAACAGAUGAAAAGGAUUUGUUUAACCUAAAGAAACACGCUCUUUCAAAAACGAGGAGAACUUUAAAUGAGUCCGACACGAAUUCAGAGAAAUGAAGAAAAACAGAGCGAUUAGAAACUGCUCAGAUUCUCACAGAGACAUUAAGAGGAGGAGAGAUUGAAUGUUCACCUGCAGGAUAAAGAAAAGCAGAAAAAAAAUAAAACAGAGGCUGGAGAGCAUCAGAUCAGUCUCCAUUUCCAAAUUAAACUCUUGGCUGUCAGAUAUGAAGCUGCAGCUCUGCAGGACUCUGUCUUUAAUCUGAUUCAGUUUCAGAUAUUUUUGACUCCCUCCUUCAGGUCAGGGUUUGAAUCUGGUCUGCAGCUUCUUUUUUCUCUCUAAUCUGAACAUAAAUCAGGAUUUUUCAUGUCUCAUUUCUGCCGAAGAGUCCGAUCAGAUCUAAAAACAGUGACGGUCUCAGAUUUGGGGGAACAGGCCUCGAUUACAUGGAUCGUUGUAUUUUAUUAGCAGGCAGAGCUCCUCUGUAGUUUUCAUACUUUUGUUUUAUGUUUAAAUUUUACAACCAGACUCUCCUGCUCUGCCACCUUCAUCUUUGAUUCAUUUUAUCAUCAAACUCGGUGUCUGCGUCUCUGCGGAUGAGACAUUAACAAUAAAAGAUGCGCUCAGAGAGGACUGUGUGGAUUUAAAGACGGGUUUAUUAUGUUUCUGUGUCGAUUUGUUGGUUCUUGAUGUCCUGGUUAAAUUUUCAAUGGACUCUAUUAAACUAGAUAUAUAGACCAGAUCCAAACUGAGACCUCAUGAGAAAGUAGAGGACGGUUUUAGGUCAGAAAGUCCCUGAGAGGAGAAAUGAAAUCUAGACCUCCAUCAUCAGGACCCCCAGGAGGGUCUGCAGCACGACUCUGAGACCGAGUUGUAAUCCUUCCCCUCUUCCUAUCCUUCCUCCUCCUCCUCCUCCUCUCAGUCCUGGUUCUCCUCAGUCUGAGUGGAUUUGAUCUGUGCAGGUCUGAACUGGAUCAGACUGAAUUAUCAGAGACAGACAGACGCUGUGUGUGUGUCUUUGUGUGUCUUUGUGUGUGUGUGUGUGUGUGUGUGUGUUUGUGUGUGUGUGUGUGUGUUACAGGGACAGCAGACUGUGCUCCUGCUGACUCUCAUCUCUGUGUUGUCUAUUUUUAUGUGAACUUCCCGUUAAUAUUUCCCUUCCUGUUGGAGUAAAAACUUUUUUCUGUUUUUCUGGGUCCUGUCAGUGAAGAGCAGAGGUUUGUUUCUCACGCCGGAGUGGUGAGUUUAUCCAAAACUUCAAAAAAUGAGAAUAAUCAGCGCUGUGCUGCGGAAACGGAGAGCUCUGGAUUAAAGAGGAAAUCCAGAUUAAACCCUCAAAGAGUCUGAAAAUAAACUGGAUCAAAGUUUGAAGCUAAACCGGUUUAAAGAUCAGAUCAGUUUCACAGAAUAAACUCAUUUAUUCUGAUCCUGCAGAUUAAUUAUGAGAAAAAAAUCACCCGAGUGAUCACGUGAGGAGAGGAUUUACUCUGAAACUGAUUUAUUUUAGUUUAUAAACUCAAUUUAGACCAACAAGAUACUUCAUAUAAGGUCAUUUUUAUCACGCCAGAUUUUUUACACACAAGAUUUGAUCAAAGGAUCGAGAUUCUUGAUGUGAGCACCUGCAGGAUCUUUGAUUAAUGCAGGUAAAC